RNAcentral lists this transfer RNA (70 nucleotides) under Phocoena sinus (vaquita). Its description in RNAcentral is "tRNA-Thr". Lineage: Eukaryota; Metazoa; Chordata; Mammalia; Artiodactyla; Phocoenidae. The record is from RNAcentral.
GUCUUUGUAGUAUAUAAAAUACUUUGGUCUUGUAAACCAGAAAAGGAGGACCUCACUCCUCCCUAAGACU